This 75-nucleotide transfer RNA is filed under the name Schistosoma margrebowiei. RNAcentral describes it as "tRNA-His". The record is from RNAcentral. Lineage: Eukaryota; Metazoa; Platyhelminthes; Trematoda; Strigeidida; Schistosomatidae.
GGUCUAUUAGGUUAAUUAUAUUUAAACUUUCAGUUUGUGGUACUGAAGAUUUGCUAUUUAAUAGUAAUUAGGCUA